Molecule: ribosomal RNA, 366 nt
Filed under: uncultured eukaryote
Lineage: Eukaryota
Description: partial 18S ribosomal RNA
Rfam family: Eukaryotic small subunit ribosomal RNA
Source: RNAcentral
CAAUAGCGUAUAUUAAAGUUGUUGCAGUUAAAAAGCUCGUAGUUGAAUUUCUGGCGGGCGCGCCGGUCUUCCAAGUGUUGUACUGGGCGCAGUCCGCCAUCCUUGUGGAGAGGGCUCGCAUUGAGUUGCGUGUCGGAUCUGCAUCAUUUACUGUGAAAAAAUUAGAGUGUUUAAAGCAGGCUGUCGCUUGAAUACAUUAGCAUGGAAUAAUAAGAUAGGACUUCGGUCUAUUUUGUUGGUUGCGAACCGAGGUAAUGAUUAAUAGGGAUAGUUGGGGGUACUCAUAUUUAAUUGUCAGAGGUGAAAUUCUUGGAUUUAUGAAAGAUGAACAACUGCGAAAGCAUUUACCAAGGAUGUUUUCAUUAA